RNAcentral lists this ribosomal RNA (650 nucleotides) under Priestia flexa. RNAcentral's name for it is "bacterial SSU rRNA". It matches the Rfam family "Bacterial small subunit ribosomal RNA", at positions 129 to 765 of the family's 1533-position model. Lineage: Bacteria; Bacillati; Bacillota; Bacilli; Caryophanales; Bacillaceae. The record is from RNAcentral.
CCUGUAAGACUGGGAUAACUCCGGGAAACCGGAGCUAAUACCGGAUAACAUUUUUUCUUGCAUAAGAGAAAAUUGAAAGAUGGUUUCGGCUAUCACUUACAGAUGGGCCCGCGGUGCAUUAGCUAGUUGGUGAGGUAACGGCUCACCAAGGCAACGAUGCAUAGCCGACCUGAGAGGGUGAUCGGCCACACUGGGACUGAGACACGGCCCAGACUCCUACGGGAGGCAGCAGUAGGGAAUCUUCCGCAAUGGACGAAAGUCUGACGGAGCAACGCCGCGUGAGUGAUGAAGGCUUUCGGGUCGUAAAACUCUGUUGUUAGGGAAGAACAAGUACAAGAGUAACUGCUUGUACCUUGACGGUACCUAACCAGAAAGCCACGGCUAACUACGUGCCAGCAGCCGCGGUAAUACGUAGGUGGCAAGCGUUAUCCGGAAUUAUUGGGCGUAAAGCGCGCGCAGGCGGUUUCUUAAGUCUGAUGUGAAAGCCCACGGCUCAACCGUGGAGGGUCAUUGGAAACUGGGGAACUUGAGUGCAGAAGAGAAAAGCGGAAUUCCACGUGUAGCGGUGAAAUGCGUAGAGAUGUGGAGGAACACCAGUGGCGAAGGCGGCUUUUUGGUCUGUAACUGACGCUGAGGCGCGAAAGCGUGGG